Molecule: non-coding RNA, 171 nt
Filed under: Clostridium senegalense
Lineage: Bacteria; Bacillati; Bacillota; Clostridia; Eubacteriales; Clostridiaceae
Description: Lysine riboswitch
Rfam family: Lysine riboswitch aptamer
About the family: Riboswitches are metabolite binding domains within certain messenger RNAs that serve as precision sensors for their corresponding targets. Allosteric rearrangement of mRNA structure is mediated by ligand binding, and this results in modulation of gene expression. This family includes riboswitches that sense lysine in a number of genes involved in lysine metabolism, including lysC.
Source: RNAcentral
UAAAUAGAGGAGCAAAUAAUAGGCUAACAAUUAUGUGAUAAAGUGAAGAACCACUGAUAAUAAUUGUGAAGGGUUUAUUUGCCGAAAGAUUAAAGUUGUUCUUAAGUUUAAUCUUGGGUGUAGAAAGGAUAUUUCUGCAACUGUCAUAAGAUUUUAUGGUGCGCUAUUUGU